This 1776-nucleotide ribosomal RNA is filed under the name Triticum aestivum (bread wheat). RNAcentral's name for it is "partial small subunit ribosomal RNA". Lineage: Eukaryota; Viridiplantae; Streptophyta; Magnoliopsida; Poales; Poaceae. The record is from RNAcentral.
AUGUUUUUUUUCAAAAAAAAAGAAAACCCGCGCUGCUGUCCACACAAUCACACAAACCACCACCAUAUCCACCUCACCUGGCCCCGCCGUCGCCAUGCCCGACUCGGCCUCGCCGCCGCCGCCGCGCCAACGAUGCUCCCCUCCCUCGCCGCCACGCCGCUUCCCAACACCUCCACUCACCGGAGCCCCUCAUCCUCAUCCUCCUCCUCCUCCGUCCAGCUCCUCCGCUCGCUCGCGCGCUCCCGCCGCGCGGACCUCGCCCACCGCGCGCUCCUCCUCUUCCGCUCCCUCCACGCCUCCCCGUCCCCGCCGCCCCCGCACUUCUCCCUCCCGGCGGCGCUCUCCGCCGCCUCCUUCCUCUCCGCGCUCCCCGAGGGCCGCCAGCUCCACGCGCUAGCGGCCAAGCUCGCGCUCGCCCCAGCCCACACCGUCGUCGCCAACUCCCUCCUCCACCUCUACGCUUCCUGCGGCCUCCCCGACGCCGCGCUCGCGCUCUUCCGGCUCAUCCCCGCCAAGUCCCUCGUCUCCUGGAACACCGCCAUCGACGCGCUCGCCAGCAACGGCGACCACCUCGGCGCGCUCGACCUCUUCCGGGAGAUGCAGCGGGACACGACCCUCGCGCCCGACGCCUACACCGUGCAGAGCGUCCUCGGCGCGUGCGCCGGCGCGGGCGCGCUCUCGCUCGGUGUCUACGCGCACGCGCUGCUGCUGCGCGAGCUCGGGGGCCACGGCGACGUGUCCCGCGACGUGCUCAUCAACAACUCGCUCGUCGACCUUUACGGCAAGUGCGGAGCCGUCGAGCUCGCGCGGCAGGUGUUCGACCGGAUGCCCGAGCGGGACAUCACGUCGUGGAACGUGGCGAUCCUCACGCUCGCCAACCACGGAUGCGUGCGUGAGUCCGUGGAGCUGUUUGAUCGGAUGACGCGGGUGGAGAAUGUUGUGCCGAACGCAAUCACGUUCGUCGCUGUUCUUAGCGCGUGCAACCAUGGCGGGAUGGUGGAGGAAGGCAGAAGAUACUUCCAGAUGAUGGUCAGCGAGUACAGGAUCAAGCCGAGGAUCGAGCACUACGGGUGCAUGGUGGACAUAUUGGCACGAGCUGGCUUCAUCGGAGAGGCCCUGGAUGUCGUGUCUGGCAUGAACUGCCGGCCUGAUGCCAUCAUCUGGAGGAGCCUUCUAGACGCAUGCUCCAGGCAGAACGCCGGGGUAGAGCUUAGCGAGGCCAUGGCCAAGCUGGCACUCGAUGUUCCGGAUGAUGCUGUCAGUGGUGUCUACGUCCUGCUCUCGAGGGUCUACGCAUUCGCACAGAAGUGGAACGAUGUGGGCAUGGUCCGGCGGUUGAUGAGCGACGAGGGUCUCAAAAAGGAGCCAGGGUUCAGCUCCAUUGAAAUGGAUGGCCUGGUUCAUCAGUUUGUCGCAGGCGACACGUCACACCCUCGGUCGGAGGAGAUAUACGCGAAGCUGGAUGAGAUCCAGCAGAGGCUUGCGUCCUCUGGAUACAAGCCAGACUUAUCAGAGGCUCGUAUGGUUGCUGGCAUGGACCAUACCAAGGGCGCCGCCCUCCGCUUGCACAGUGAGCGGCUAGCCAUAUCGUUUGGUUUACUCAAGGCGACACCCGGUGCACCUAUUCGGAUCCUGAAGAACCUGAGGGUGUGCAAAGACUGCCAUACUAUCAGCAAGCUCAUAUCAGAGCUCUAUGGUGUUGAGAUCAUUGUUAGGGACCGGAUUCGGUUUCACCAUUUCAAGGAUGGAGCAUGUUCCUGCAAAGACUACUGGUGA